CUGUUUAAAUCAAUAAUCCAUGUCUGAUCCCUACACCGCCUCAGGAGCCUGGGAGGAUAGCACGUCUUCCAUCUGCAAUAAACCUGGUAAAUCUUCCGCUGUGAAUUACUAAAGACCCAGAUACUUUUCCUGCUGCAGCUACAAUGAGUUCCUUUCUACUUGAGCUGUGCAGCUUCACAGCUGCAAUGAAAGCAACAAAAUCCACUUUCUUUACAUACAGCAAGUCUGGUUCUCUUGGUUGACAAAUAGACCUAUUGACUAUGAGCAUUGAUGCAUCAACUACAGUACCAUUUCUUCAACUUCACUUGCUCACUCAAUUAUUUUGAUUGCCUCCGCAUAGGAGCUCAGAUGUACCGCCCUAACUUUUGCCACCUCAACCUCCUUCACCCUUACAGGGCACUCCACGAACUCUGGGCCAUGAUCCCAACCACAAUUGCAACAAGGCCAUUCUUCACUCCGAUCUGUAUACUCCACCCGUCUGCACACACUUGAAACAUGGCCAUAUCCUAUACAAUUUUUACACUGUUUUGGUGAUAAAAGCGCUUGCUGCUUAACUCAUAUACCUCAGCUUCACAUGCGUAGGGAGGUGCUCAUCAUCAACAAACAAUAGAACCGACUAACUUUCUUCCAUUGUUCCUUCCGCCAUGCAGGUCAAGCGACGGGCACCACACCUGGGAUUCCUGUCACAAGGUUUUCCUCCCUAACUUCCAUCGACACCCUGGAGAGACCUACUCCGGAGUUCAAAGCACGAUACUUCGGGUGACUCGAUUCUUGUUAGAUCAACAACAGGAUCUUGGAGUAACCACUGAGGAACAUCCCCCUAUCACCACAGAAGGGCCAACCUCCAAUUCCCUCAGACCACUCAUCAGCAAGCUUUCCAACUGUCCAACCAAAACCACUGCCUUGUCUACUAAUAUAUUCCCAACAGUCAUCUAGAACAGUAGCAGUGGGAUGGUCAACCUCACAGCCUUUCAGCCUAACCCAAUAAGCUAAUUACCAUUUUUUUACACUGAAUAUCCAAAAGCAUCUCACCUACCUCCACUAGUAAGGCACAUGCAGAUGUUGAUUUAAAUGCACCAAUACAUAUCCUUAAAGCUGUAUACUGGAUUCUGUCCAGCCUCUGAAGCCAAGUCUUCGCCGCUGUUCCAUAAACUAUACACCCGUAAUCAAUUGUCGUUCUGAUCAGAGCUCUAUAAAUAUCCAUCAACGAUUGUCUAUCAGCACCACAUUCAUAACCAAUGACCAAGCGCAUAAGAUUCACCACCUUCUUACACUUUUUUUCAACAUUUGACAUGGUAUUUCCAUGUAUAUCGCUCAUUGAACCAUAGACCCAAAUAUUUGUACUUAGAAACCCUCCCCAUAGGCUGACCUUACAGAAACAACUGUAUAUUCUCAGCAACUUUCUUCUUAGAGAAGAACAUACAGCAAGACUUUCGCCACUGACAAUUUAAAACCCCAGUCAAUUGACCAUUUUUCAAAAUCCACUAUAGCUUGUUGAAUAGAUUGUCACAUGAGAGAUAUUCCUUGUCCCCUUUCAAAUAGCUCUAUCAUCAGCAUAUAGGUAAGCCCCAAUAGCCCAACCUACAUUCAAAAACACAUUGUUAAUCAUAAUAUUAAUAUUGAACAAAAUAGGACAGAUCGCACUGCCUUGAGGAAUACCAUUGUCAACUCCACAGGCAUCAGAUAAAAUUGAUCCUAUUUUAACUAAAAAAGAGCGAUUAAAUAAGAACACCAAAACUCAGUUGUAUAUUCUCCCACCAAUACCAAGUCUAUCCAUCUUAAUCACAUUGUAUUGUAUGCCUUUUCAAUGUCAAAAAAGACAGUAGCCAUUACUUCAUGACCAGAGUUUUUUUCAACUUCAUUGUUCACCUUUACUAAUGCAUCCAAAGUAGAUCUACCUUUAUGGAAUCCACUUUGCCAUUGACUCAAUAAAAAUCUAUGUUCCAGGAAA
This is a long non-coding RNA of Oncorhynchus nerka (sockeye salmon), 1951 nucleotides long. RefSeq lists it as uncharacterized. Lineage: Eukaryota; Metazoa; Chordata; Actinopteri; Salmoniformes; Salmonidae. The transcript has 2 exons. The record is from RefSeq and is a predicted model, not a curated record.